GACGAACGCUGGCGGCGUGCUUAACACAUGCAAGUCGAACGAUGAAGAAAAGAAUCGAAGCUUCGGCAGAAAUUCAUUUCGGAUUAGUGGCAGACGGGUGAGUAACGCGUGAGCAACCUACCUCUUACAAAGGGAUAGCCUCGGGAAACCGGGAUUAAUACCAUAUAACAUUGCGACGAAGCAUUUCGAUGCAAUCAAAGCUACGGCGGUAAGAGAUGGGCUCGCGUCCCAUUAACCGGAAGGUGAGGUAACGGCUCACCAUAGGGACGAUGGGUAACCGGCCUGAGAGGGUGAACGGUAACACUGGAACUGAGACACGGUCCAGACUCCUACGGGAGGCAGCAGUGGGGAAUAUUGCACAAUGGAGGGAACUCUGAUGCAGCGACGCCGCGUGAGUGAUGAAGGAAUUCGUUUCGUAAAACUCUGUUCUAUGGGAAGAAAAGGACUGUACCAUAGGAGAAAGCUCCGGCUAAAUACGUG
This 480-nucleotide ribosomal RNA is filed under the name uncultured bacterium. RNAcentral describes it as "partial 16S ribosomal RNA". It matches the Rfam family "Bacterial small subunit ribosomal RNA", at positions 28 to 507 of the family's 1533-position model. The record is from RNAcentral.